RNAcentral lists this ribosomal RNA (400 nucleotides) under uncultured bacterium. RNAcentral's name for it is "partial 16S ribosomal RNA". It matches the Rfam family "Bacterial small subunit ribosomal RNA", at positions 338 to 755 of the family's 1533-position model. The record is from RNAcentral.
CCUACGGGUGGCAGCAGUGGGGAAUAUUGCACAAUGGGGGAAACCCUGAUGCAGCGACGCCGCGUGAGUGAAGAAGUAUUUCGGUAUGUAAAGCUCUAUCAGCAGGGAAGAAAAUGACGGUACCUGAUUAAGAAGCCCCGGCUAACGACGUGCCAGCAGCCGCGGUAAUACGUAGGGCGCACGCGUUAUCCGGAUUUACUGGGUGUAAAGGGAGCGUAGACGGCAGCACAAGUCUGGAGGGAAAUGCCGGGGCUUCACCCCGGAACGGCUUUGGAAACUGGGCCGCUAGAGUGCAGGCGAGGUAAGUCGCCUUCCUAGUGUAGCGGUGAAAUGCGUCGAUAUUAGGAGGAACACCAGUGGCGAAGGCGGCUUACUGGACUGUACCUGACGUUGCGGCUCG